Molecule: ribosomal RNA, 139 nt
Filed under: uncultured eukaryote
Lineage: Eukaryota
Description: partial 18S ribosomal RNA
Rfam family: Eukaryotic small subunit ribosomal RNA
Source: RNAcentral
UGGUGGAGUGAUUUGUCUGGUUAAUUCCGUUAACGAACGAGACCUCAGCCUGCUAAAUAGUCACGUCGAUGCUGCAUCGGCGGCCGACUUCUUAGAGGGACUAUCGGCGUUUAGCCGGUGGAAGUUUGAGGCAAUAACA